UAUGAAGAGACCGGUGCAAGCGAGGUAGGAGUCUGAAAGGCAAAACCGUCAGACAAUCCGAAGACGUGAUGCGCAGCGAACUGAAGUAGCGAAGCUUCGGCCCCUAACUGCCAAGAAAAGCCGCUAUUGUUUGCAUGACACCCGUACCGUAAACCGACACAGGUGGAUGAGGAGAGAAUCCUAAGGCCGACGGGAGAAGCAUUGUUAAGGAACUCGGCAAAAUGACCCCGUAACUUCGGGAGAAGGGGUGCCUCGAAAGAGGCCGCAGAGAAUUGGCCCAAGCAACUGUUUAGCAAAAACACAGGUCUAUGCAAAACCGAAAGGUGAGGUAUAUGGGCUGACGCCUGCCCGGUGCUGGAAGGUUAAGAGGAGAGCUUAGCGCAAGCGAAGGUUUGAAUUUAAGCCCCAGUAAACGGCGGCCGUAACAAUAACGGUCCUAAGGUAGCGAAAUUCCUUGUCGGGUAAGUUCCGACCCGCACGAAAGGCGUAAUGAUUUGGGCGCUGUCUCGACAAUGCACCCGGUGAAAUUGAAGUACCAGUGAAGAUGCUGGUUACCCGCGCCAGGACGGAAAGACCCCAUGGAGCUUUACUCUAGCUUGAUACUGGGAUUCGGUAUUGUCUGUACAGGAUAGGUGGGAGGCUAUGAACCGUGGACGCCAGUCUGCGGGGAGCCGCUGUUGGGAUACCACCCUUACAAUACUGGAUUUCUAACCUGCCGCCAUGACCUGGCGGAGGGACAAUGUCUGGUGGGGAGUUUGACUGGGGCGGUCGCCUCCGAAAGAGUAUCGGAGGCGCUCAAAGGUCCUCUCAGGAUGGACGGAAACCAUCCGAAGAGUGCAAAGGCAUAAGAGGGCUUGACUGUGACACCGACGGGUGGAGCAGGUACGAAAGUAGGACUUAGUGAUCCGGUGGUAGAAAGUGGGAUUGCCAUCGCUCAACGGAUAAAAGCUACCCCUGGGAUAACAGGCUUAUCACUCCCAAGAGUUCACAUCGACGGAGUGGUUUGGCACCUCGAUGUCGGCUCAUCGCAUCCUGGGGCUGUAGCAGGUCCCAAGGGUUGGGCUGUUCGCCCAUUAAAGCGGUACGCGAGCUGGGUUCAGAACGUCGUGAGACAGUUCGGUCCCUAUCCGGCGCGGGCGUAGGAUAUUUGAGAGGAGCUGUCCUUAGUACGAGAGGACCGGGAUGGACGAACCGCUGGUGGAUCGGUUGCAUUAUCAAGUGCAUGGCCGAGUAGCCAAGUUCGGAAGGGAUAAACGCUGAAGGCAUCUAAGCGUGAAGCCCCCCUCAAGAUGAGAUAUCCCAUUCUUUAAAAGAAGUAAGACCCCUUGAAGACCACGAGGUAGAUAGGGCAGAGGUGGAAGUACGGUAACGUAUGGAGCUGACUGUCACUAAUCGGUCGAGGGCUUGAUC
This 1410-nucleotide ribosomal RNA is filed under the name metagenome. Its description in RNAcentral is "bacterial LSU rRNA". It matches the Rfam family "Bacterial large subunit ribosomal RNA", at positions 1497 to 2925 of the family's 2925-position model. The record is from RNAcentral.